GACGAACGCUGGCGGCGUGCUUAACACGUGCAAGUCGAACGGAAAGGCCCUGCUUUUGUGGGGUGCUCGAGUGGCGAACGGGUGAGUAACACGUGAGUAACCUGCCCUUGACUUUGGGAUAACUUCAGGAAACUGGGGCUAAUAUCGGAUAGGAGCUACUGCUGCAUGGUGGGGGUUGGAAAGUUUCGGCGGUUGGGGAUCGACUCGCGGCUUAUGAGCUUGUUGGUGGGGUAGUGGCCUCCCAGGGCUUUGACGGGUAGCCGGCCUGGGAGGGUGACCGGGCACAUUGGGACUGAGAUACGGCCCAGACGCCUACGGGAGGCAGCAGGGGGGAAUAUGGCACAAUGGGCGGAAGCCUGAUGCAGCAACGCCGCGUGCGGGAUGACGGCCUUCGGGUUGUAAACCGCUUUCGCCUGUGACGAAGCGUGAGUGACGGUAAUGGGUAAAGAAGCACCGGCUAACUACGUG
This 468-nucleotide ribosomal RNA is filed under the name uncultured bacterium. Its description in RNAcentral is "partial 16S ribosomal RNA". It matches the Rfam family "Bacterial small subunit ribosomal RNA", at positions 28 to 507 of the family's 1533-position model. The record is from RNAcentral.